Molecule: long non-coding RNA, 1345 nt
Filed under: Homo sapiens (human)
Lineage: Eukaryota; Metazoa; Chordata; Mammalia; Primates; Hominidae
Description: non-protein coding lnc-RPLP1-12:24
Source: RNAcentral
GGAGCUGGUUCCAGGAAAGAAGGGCACAUGAGCAAACAUGAUGGCCCCUUUAUGAGAGGUAAUUUACUGAAAUGCACAGCGAUUACCUGCUCACCCAGCCCUGAUGUAAUUAAAAAUGGCAGGCUAGGGGCUCUGUUUCCCCCGGCUCUGGCAGAGAAACCUGGGUUUCGACUUGUGAAGCUUGAGGUUGGAUGUGGGAAUUGGCUUGGAGUCAUAGGCGAUGAGAGGGACAUUAGGAUAUUAUGAAGCCCGUGAACUCAACUCCUGAGAAGGACGCAGCAGAGCGAGAGAAAAGAUGGAAUAAAAAGGCCUACCUCAUUGGGCUCGUGUGGGUGAGGAGAACUGAAGAGUCUGAGAGCGCGGCACGAGCCAGAGGCUACGGAAAACACUGCCCUCCUACACUCCACCUUGGAGAGACCCAGAAAAGAACAAGCUUCAUUUGUAAAAAAGGAAAACAACUCAGGCAAUGGGGGUGGCUUAAAGGCACUCUACAGUGUGCAGAUGCCUUCCACUUCUUCCAUCUGCCCUGUCUCUCCAAGAACCCCUAUGGCCCCGGUCUCAGAACAGAGCUGAGUGCAGAAAUGAAAAUCUAUGGCUCUGUGUUCCAAAACGAUGAAGAAUUUCAAGAUGGUGGCAGUGGUAAAAUCUUUCUCCAGGAAAAAUCUGUCCUUGGCCCAAUGUGUAAACACUUGCUGAGUAUUGUGAAACCAGCAACUUGUUCACAAUUCUUCUGAAUUUCUUGGGAAAUUUGAAGUGGAGUACCUGUACCAACAUGAAAUGACACGAAUUUAAGUGACGCUCAACAACGAAAAGCAAAAAGAACCAAAGAGGAAGCAACUGAAACAACAUCUGGAUGUAUUUAAAAAUAUACAAUGCCUCCAAAAUCAGGUGUCAUUAAUGAAAAUUCUGAAGAAAUGCCACCGGACAUAGCCAACGCACCUACGCUGUUGUUAUUCAUUUCCUGCUUUUCACAGAAAACAAUUUUGUUGCAUGGAAGAUCGUGAACUUCAAAGGGCAGAGGGGAAACUGUCCCUUGGCCUCUACCCCUCCAAGGCCCCACUUUUUUGUCAACACUCCUUGGACGCAGCAGAAGUAUGAACAUAAUAUGGUCCUGAAUGAGGCUGAGUCUUUGGGCGCAGAAGACCCGGGUUAAUAAAAAUAGGAAGGUAAGAAAAGAAAAGAAAAAUCAAGACACAUCAUAGGACUAAAUUCCUAUUAUUUAUCCACUCAGGAUUGACCACCCCUUUGGGCCAGAUAGUUGUACCCCCAUGUACCAGGUGGGCACAUGAAGACACAAGAAGUGCUGUGAUGGUUCAUUUUGCACGUCACCUUGCGUGGAGUAUGC